UACGUAGGGUGCAAGCGUUAAUCGGAAUUACUGGGCGUAAAGCGUGCGCAGGCGGUUAUGCAAGACAGAUGUGAAAUCCCCGGGCUCAACCUGGGAACUGCAUUUGUGACUGCAUGGCCAGAGUACGGUAGAGGGGGAUGGAAUUCCGCGUGUAGCAGUGAAAUGCGUAGAUAUCGGAAGGAACAUCAGUGGCGAAAGCGACUUCCUGGACCAGUACCGACGUUCAGGCACGAAAGCGUGGGGAGCAAACAGG
Molecule: ribosomal RNA, 253 nt
Filed under: uncultured bacterium
Lineage: Bacteria
Description: partial 16S ribosomal RNA
Rfam family: Bacterial small subunit ribosomal RNA
Source: RNAcentral